Molecule: ribosomal RNA, 497 nt
Filed under: uncultured bacterium
Lineage: Bacteria
Description: partial 16S ribosomal RNA
Rfam family: Bacterial small subunit ribosomal RNA
Source: RNAcentral
GAUGAACGCUGGCGGCGUGCCUAAUACAUGCAAGUCGAGCGAACAGAUGAGGAGCUUGCUCCUCUGACGUUAGCGGCGGACGGGUGAGUAACACGUGGAUAACCUACCUAUAAGACUGGGAUAACUUCGGGAAACCGGAGCUAAUACCGGAUAAUAUAUUGAACCGCAUGGUUCAAUAGUGAAAGACGGUUUUGCUGUCACUUAUAGAUGGAUCCGCGCCGCAUUAGCUAGUUGGUAAGGUAACGGCUUACCAAGGCAACGAGGCGUAGCCGACCUGAGAGGGUGAUCGGCCACACGGGAAGUUAGACACGGUCCAGACUCCUACGGGAGGCAGCAGUAGGGAAUCUUCCGCAAUGGGCGAAAGCCUGACGGAGCAACGCCGCGUGAGUGAUGAAGGUCUUCGGAUCGUAAAACUCUGUUAUUAGGGAAGAACAAAUGUGUAAGUAACUAUGCACGUCUUGACGGUACCUAAUCAGAAAGCCACGGCUAACUACGUG